This 497-nucleotide ribosomal RNA is filed under the name uncultured bacterium. Its description in RNAcentral is "partial 16S ribosomal RNA". It matches the Rfam family "Bacterial small subunit ribosomal RNA", at positions 28 to 507 of the family's 1533-position model. The record is from RNAcentral.
GAUGAACGCUGGCGGCGUGCCUAAUACAUGCAAGUCGAGCGAACAGACGAGGAGCUUGCUCCUCUGACGUUAGCGGCGGACGGGUGAGUAACACGUGGAUAACCUACCUAUAAGACUGGGAUAACUUCGGGAAACCGGAGCUAAUACCGGAUAAUAUAUUGAACCGCAUGGUUCGAUAGUGAAAGACGGUUUUGCUGUCACUUAUAGAUGGAUCCGCGCCGCAUUAGCUAGUUGGUAAGGUAACGGCUUACCAAGGCAACGAUGCGUGGCCGACCGGAGAGGGUGAUCGGCCACACUGGAACUGAGCCGCGGUCCAGACGCCUGCGGGAGGCAGCAGUAGGGAAUGUUCCGCAAUGGGCGAAAGCCUGGCGGAGCGACGCCGCGUGAGUGACGAAGGUCUUCGGAUCGUAAAACUCUGUUAUUAGUGAAGAACAAAUGUGUAAGUAACUAUGCACGUCUUGACGGUACCUAAUCAGAAAGCCACGGCUAACUACGUG